GACGAACGCUGGCGGCGUGCUUAACACAUGCAAGUCGAGCGGUAAGGCCCUUUCGGGGGUACACGAGCGGCGAACGGGUGAGUAACACGUGGGUGACCUGCCCUCAGCUCUGGGAUAAGCCUGGGAAACCGGGUCUAAUACCGGAUAUGACUCCAUGACGCAUGUUGUGGGGUGGAAAGCCUUGUGCGGCUGAGGAUGGGCCCGCGGCCUAUCAGCUUGUUGGUGGGGUGAUGGCCUACCAAGGCGACGACGGGUAGCCGGCCUGAGAGGGCGACCGGCCACACUGGGACUGAGACACGGCCCAGACUCCUACGGGAGGGCAGCAGUGGGGAAUCUUGCGCAAUGGGCGAAAGCCUGACGCAGCGACGCCGCGUGAGGGAUGACGGCCCU
RNAcentral lists this ribosomal RNA (390 nucleotides) under uncultured bacterium. Its description in RNAcentral is "bacterial SSU rRNA". It matches the Rfam family "Bacterial small subunit ribosomal RNA", at positions 28 to 418 of the family's 1533-position model. The record is from RNAcentral.